Molecule: transfer RNA, 76 nt
Filed under: Mesorhizobium sp.
Lineage: Bacteria; Pseudomonadati; Pseudomonadota; Alphaproteobacteria; Hyphomicrobiales; Phyllobacteriaceae
Description: tRNA-Asn
Rfam family: tRNA
About the family: Transfer RNA (tRNA) molecules are approximately 80 nucleotides in length. Their secondary structure includes four short double-helical elements and three loops (D, anti-codon, and T loops). Further hydrogen bonds mediate the characteristic L-shaped molecular structure. tRNAs have two regions of fundamental functional importance: the anti-codon, which is responsible for specific mRNA codon recognition, and the 3' end, to which the tRNAs corresponding amino acid is attached (by aminoacyl-tRNA synthetases). tRNAs cope with the degeneracy of the genetic code in two manners: having more than one tRNA (with a specific anti-codon) for a particular amino acid; and 'wobble' base-pairing, i.e. permitting non-standard base-pairing at the 3rd anti-codon position.
Source: RNAcentral
UGGAGUGUAGCCAAGCGGUAAGGCGCGCGGCUGUUAACCGCGUUAUGCGCAGGUUCGAAUCCUGCCGCUCCAGCCA